RNAcentral lists this transfer RNA (80 nucleotides) under Coniophora puteana RWD-64-598 SS2. It matches the Rfam family "tRNA". From Rfam's summary of the family: Transfer RNA (tRNA) molecules are approximately 80 nucleotides in length. Lineage: Eukaryota; Fungi; Basidiomycota; Agaricomycetes; Boletales; Coniophoraceae. The record is from Rfam by way of RNAcentral.
GGCGCUAUAGUGUAGUGGUUAUCACUCAGGAUUCUGAUAUGAAGAUUCCUGUAACCCAGGUUCGAGCCCUGGUAGCGCCU